Molecule: long non-coding RNA, 349 nt
Organism: Betta splendens (Siamese fighting fish)
Lineage: Eukaryota; Metazoa; Chordata; Actinopteri; Anabantiformes; Osphronemidae
Exons: 3
Source: RefSeq, a predicted model, not a curated record
CUUCACCGACGUCUCUGAAACCUCCUGCCUGCUCCCGGCGCUGCGGAACGAACCCAGCCUGUGAUCCGGACCAAAACACUCUGCUGAGGCGCAUGGAAAACACGCUGCGUCACCGCGACGCCGAUGACGUCACCCAAAGCCCAAGGCCACUUCACAAGUCGCCCAGGAAGGACACACUUAACAACGUAUGCUGGUGGAAGGAGGAGCGGCAUGGAGGCUCCAGAUUCACACCUGAAGAACCAGAACCACGGUGGUUGGGUCACUGGAGAGUGGAGGGAGGAGGAGGGGGGGACCCAGCCUCGCUCCAUGGGCGAGGUACUGUAGCUCCCUCCCACCCUGCAGACUGGCC